GGCUGUGUGGUCUAGUGGUAUGAUUCUCGCUUAGGGCGAGGGGUCCCGAGUUCAAUUCUCGGCACAGCCC
This 70-nucleotide transfer RNA is filed under the name Perkinsus olseni. Its description in RNAcentral is "tRNA-Leu". It matches the Rfam family "tRNA". From Rfam's summary of the family: Transfer RNA (tRNA) molecules are approximately 80 nucleotides in length. Lineage: Eukaryota; Perkinsozoa; Perkinsida; Perkinsidae. The record is from RNAcentral.